CCCGGACCGGGUACGGGGGUAACGAAUACGUAUCCAACCUGCCGUCUACUCUUGGCCAGCCUUCUGAAGGAAGAUUAAUCCAGGAUGGCAUCAUGAGUUCACAUGUCCGCAUGAUUAAAGGUAUUUUCCGGUAGACGAUGGGGAUGCGUUCCAUUAGAUAGUAGGCGGGGUAACGGCCCACCUAGUCAACGAUGGAUAGGGGUUCUGAGAGGAAGGUCCCCCACAUUGGAACUGAGACACGGUCCAA
This 247-nucleotide ribosomal RNA is filed under the name uncultured bacterium. RNAcentral's name for it is "partial 16S ribosomal RNA". It matches the Rfam family "Bacterial small subunit ribosomal RNA", at positions 104 to 334 of the family's 1533-position model. The record is from RNAcentral.